This 2415-nucleotide long non-coding RNA is filed under the name Venturia canescens. Its description in RNAcentral is "uncharacterized LOC122410128". Lineage: Eukaryota; Metazoa; Arthropoda; Insecta; Hymenoptera; Ichneumonidae. The record is from RNAcentral.
UCCUCCAGUCCCCAUUGGACUUGACUCAUCAGCGGUUAAACGUGCUGGCUUCCCAAAGUUAAUAUCCACGUGAACAGGAAGCUGUUUGAUUCUUGCUCGCGGCCGUCGACGGGUUCAUCGACGAUGAGAAAUCUUCAGAAUAAUCGCGAGGAGAGCACAAAAAUAAAUUUGUACGAAUCCCGAUCAUUCUACGAGCUGCCAUGGGAUCUUUGUGCACGCAUCAGCAUAAUCGAUCCAACGCUUGUAGCUUCAGCGUCAAUGUUGCCUAUACAGUAUCGGUAUUUCGUGCUGACGUUUUACAAUCGUAACAGCUUGCAUCAUCAGGGUUAAGAGCUCUGAUAAGUGGUCCACGCACACACGGAGAGCACAAAUGAAGAUUUUCAUCGUAUAGUUAUACGACUGUGAAUUCGCGGAGUGUACAGUUGUUGCGGCGGUGUCUUAAUGAUCAGAAUAAAUCUGCGGUACUCGCAUCGCUGAACGGAUGAAAUUCAGGCUAGUAAAUAGUGCGCGCCUCAUUCGUUUGUUGUACGAUUAUCAAUCAUCCCUCGCCCCGCCUCCUCUCUCAAAUCUUCUCUCGCUUUUUUAUUCGCAUUUAUUCGCGAGCCUUUUGUAGUGUCACCUUGUGGCACGUAGGCUAAACGAUCCAUAGAAAUGGUUCAGCGAUGGAAGAAGAAGAACGAAAAGAGGCUUUGCGUUCGUUACGAAAGUAAAAGAUCAAGACAAUUCUGGACGGUGCUUAACAACAAUUUUUAUCUUCUGGUUCGCGUUGGCAGGCACUCACGCAGGGAGUUUGCGGCGAUCACCGUUGGAUCCUAUGAAAAUGGGGUUUCACGUCGUUGAGUAAAUGCGACGUCACACGUUCGACGACAAACAAGGAAACAACGCAAAGUUAUCCGAAGCGCAUAAAACAUUUUGUAGAAUUUCAACGUUCGAGUUGUUACUCGGACGUCGAGAUGAGCGAGAUCCCGGAUAGAAAUAGAAACACGAGGCCAGAGACAUCGCGCACUCGAGAGUACGACACAGUGAGAGACGCGAAAGUGUGUUGCGUCGCUGAGAGGUCGCGAUCCAAUCCGUUGAUGAAUCGGUCGACCACGAAAGUUGGAUGAUUCCGAAAAGUUGUUGAUGUCUUUACGUUGCACUGCUGGGAUCCAGCAGCGAUCUGACUGCGUAGGUUUAAUUUCAUAACAUAUUGUCGAUUUAGAUUUAACUUUUGUUUUGCUUCGUUUCCCAAGGGCUCUUGGGAGGCCACACAAACGGUUUUCCGAAGGAAAAAUUCAUGAUAAUUCGACAGGAAUCGAUGACAUCUUACAGGUACGAGCCUUUUUAACUCGGCAGUUUCUUUGGAGCCUCGAACACAUUUCGAUGGAAUUCGAUGAGGAAAAUCUGUGCAACGAUGUUGAACUUUUCAAUUGAACGGAAUUGCUAACUUUUAAAGAAUCUCAGUUUUUUUUCACAAUCUUGCGAUAAUUCUAAAGUUUUUAAUCUCAAAAAUCUGAACGGCAAAUUUGCGGAUAAAGUUGAAACGGUUUCACUGUUACGCGGCAAUGGUCCCCGGACAAAAUAUCCAGGUAAAAAUAUCCUGAGACACGAUAUUCUCUGUAAUUUUGUUGAGUCGAUUAGUCUUUUUAUUGUUUUUAUUUAUUUAUACCAGGCAGGCAGAACACACAAACACACACGCACACAAAUUCGAAUAAAUAAACAAAAAUACACACACCCAUUCAAACAUGGUUGCAAGAUCAUUUCGUUGAUAAUGAUAAUAAUGAUUUCCUUGAAUAAUAGAGAUAAAAAUAUAUCCAAUACAUUCAGUCUUACAAGUGUAGGAUAUUUUCAAAUCAAGGAUAUUAUGUCAUUAGGAUAUUUUAUAUCAGAAUAUUUCGACCCGAGGAUAUUUUGUUCCGAGAAUCUCUUGUCCAAGGAUAUUUUGUCUCGGGAUCUUUUGACUGUACACCGAUUUCACAAACUUAAAAAUAAGACAAGCAAACCUCUUUCAGUUGCCUUCAGAGCAGAAUUCGGUCUGAUAAUUACCGUGUACAAUUCGUCGUCCCCGCUGUCAGAUUUGUUCGUAGAUGUUUUUUUUUUUUUUAAUUGGUGGUAAAACAAAGGGCUCCACAAAAUGACCGAGUCAUUGGAUCUUUCUGAACGUCUAAGUUUGAAAAAUGUAUCAAUCGUAUGAAUUUCAUUGCCCAAACUUUCUGAUUCUUGUCUUGGCAAUUUUAGAGAAAAUGCACCAAAUCAUAAUCUCUUCUGAACUGCGAUAACUUAGCUCUUUAUUUUCAAAUGAAGGUAAAAUUGUUUAGUUAAUAUUUACAAUCGUUAACUUUGCUAAAAUCAUUCCAAAUUAUUUUUAAAAAUUUUAUCUCGCGCCAUAUUAACAGAGAUAAAAGAAAAAUAAAAAGAAAUAGAGUGAAAAACAAA